Long non-coding RNA from Clupea harengus (Atlantic herring), 2030 nucleotides. The record is from Ensembl. Lineage: Eukaryota; Metazoa; Chordata; Actinopteri; Clupeiformes; Clupeidae.
UAGUUUACUAGAUUACUAAAUUUUGUUGUGUUGUGGGUGUGUUCUCUCACAUAGUCUGUCAGUAAUCAGUCAACAAGCUCUUUUUAGGCCAUGAUAAGCCAGCUCAACUCCUUUAUUCUGAGUGUUUGAAUGAUUACAGAAGGGAUAUAUCCAUCAUCCUUUGGCACACACAAGUAUGGACAGCGGUAGCCGGUCUGGUCAUAAAGUGCACUGAGGAGUGAGGUAGAUCCAGUUGAGUAUUUUAACAGGCUUUUAUACACUCUUGUUUUUAUUUUGUUUUUAUUCAUGGUCAUAUUUUCCCCCCUGCUCUGACCUUCCUUUCACCCUUCCGCAGAAACCAAAAUGGCGUGAACGCAAUUUUUCAAAGCCUGUCAAAAUAACAAAAACCUUUUCACAUCUCAUUCCCACAUUGCGUGGCUAUAUUUAAACGAAAUCCCAGUGGCUUUGCGUUUCGUCCUUCUUUGACAAGCAAGGACACACAGUAUAGAGCAGUGAGGAAUAAUAGAGUGUGUGAGUGUGAGAGAGAGGAGAGGAGUGAAGCAGGACCAUAGAGAGAGGGGAGCCCCAGAUUGCAGUUGGCUGUCAGAUCAGCAUCAGAUCUGGGCCAGAUCUGGGCCAAGACCCACGUCAGAGUAGACCCAGAUCAGUCCUGUGGUAACCACUGCACGAGGGAACACGUAAAAGAAAUAAACACGUCAUAAAAUUGUUGGAAUCAGUGUUCUUUAUUCUUUUUGUUUUAAGUGUUGAUUUAACCAUAGAUAUUUGGAAGUCAUUUCUGUUGCUAAGCAAUAUAAACAAACGCUACCUCUCUUUUUUAUUGUUGCAUUGUAGUCCAUUCCAAAGGUCCCUUGUUCAGCACCGAUUCUGCUCUUCCCCUCCAGGACCGAACUGAGGACGUUUGGGCCAUGGCCCUGGUGCAGCCUUAGGGAGGGGAACAAAACACAGUGGUUUCACCCCAUAGUGGAAAUGCACCAAUAGUCAGCUGUCAUCUGUGGAAUCAGGGAGAAGAUGGUCCCGGGAGACCCGAAGAGAGACAUGUUUUUACACUGGUUGAAGGAGUGAUGCAGUGAGGUACAGAGAGACCUAGAGAGCGGCUGAAGGAGUGAUGCAGUGAGGUACGAAGAGACCUAGAGAGCGGCUGAAGGAGUGAUGCAGUGAGGUACGGAGAGACCUAGAGAGCGGCCCCAGGAGGCACAUCAGACGGUUGUGAAAGUGCAGACUGUGGCACAGAUCCGUCCUGUGAGACACUCAGUCUGUUGGAGAACAGAUGGUUCUUUAGAGGUACACACAGAGCAGAGGCGGUUCUUUAGAGAUACACGCAGAGCCGAGGCGGUUCUUUAGUGGAAAACACAGAGCAGAGGCGGUUCUUUAGAGAUGCACACAGAGCCGAGGCGUACAGAGGCCUUAGAAUAACCCGCCAGUAGAUAUGACAGAUGUUAGGACAGACUUGUGAGUAUUAUUUUGUGUUGAGUUUGGAAGAUUUAAGGAACUGAACUUAUUGGAAGUAAUCAAUUAUUGGCGUAGGAUGAGCUUUGCACUGGAGGAACCUGUAAGUAAUGUUUGAUGGUGUGAAAAUGGGGCACGGAGGAAGUCUCUUUCUUCUGCCAAAUUGGGAUAUUCAAGAUAUACUUUGUCUUUCUGUCAGAAAACAACAUCUGAGAAGGAGUUAGAAAAUGAUAUGAGACUGAUGGGAAUUACUUUGAGAUAUGAGGGGAAAGCAUCUACAUGCUGCAUGCUUAACACAGACAUCGACCAAAAAUUAGCUUAUUAAAGUGUUUAAAAUAUGUUUGGCGGUGUGAGGAAGAGAGAGAAAGUCAGAAAGACAGCAAGAGAUAGAUAAAUAGACAAACAGAGAGUGAGAGAAUGAGAGAAUGAGUCAGAUGAACAGAAAGAUGUAGAGAGACAGUGAAGCAGAGAGACAGUGGGGCAGAGAGAAAUCAGAGACAGAGAUCAAGAAAGGCAUUCCAACAGAGGUUGAGACCAAGAUUGAAUAACCAAUUAUUGGAUUUACAUUUCUCUGGCUUGUCUUU